UUCAGAGAACUAUUAAUUUACUUUUUCUUAAAGAGAAAGACUCCUCUCUGAAAGGCUAUAGCUGUAGGAAACUCAGCAUAUGUUAAUCCUUUCUAAAGAACUUGGUUGGAAAAAAAGUAUAAUUACUGUGGCUUUGCUUUCUGAUUGGCCUUUCUUUCUGACUAGAUCAGGAAAUGCCUAGAGUAUUUGUAGAUCUAAAAAUGAUGACAAAGGAAAUAGAUCUAAUCUCAAAACAAGUUUCUGAUGUACACCAAACUAGGACACAUUAGGUUAAAUCUUAAAGUCUUUUUUAACGUUCUGUAAUCUGAGAUUAUUAACGUUUUGAAGGUUUAAGAAUAUUAAUUCUAGCAAUUGACAUCUUCACAGGUGACAGUGUAAAUCACAGAGCUUAAAAUUUCUUGGAUACAGAUUUAUUUCAAAUUGCCCCAUGGCUAUCAAGCAACUUUCACAUGGUGGAGAAUGCCAACUGUAUUCCUUUCUGCAAAAGUAGAGGUUCCUUUUAUUUAUUUAUUUAGUUUUUUUAGAGGUUCCUUUUAAAGGUGAUUGCAUGAUAGGGCCUUGACAAUAAACUAGUCCAGCGUCCUCUGUGGCAGCUUCUAAAAUGGCUUCCAGUGAUUCCCAGCCUCCUGGUAUUUUUGCCUGUAUUAGUUCACUAGAGCUGCCAUAACAAAAUACCACAGACUAGGCAAUUUAAACACAGAAAUGUAUUUUUUCACAGUUCUGGAGGGUGGAAGCUCAAGAUCAAGGUUUUGACAUAUUUGCUAUCUCUCAUAUGGCUUUCUUCUUGCCUGAUAGAUGACUGUCUUCUUACUGCAUCUUCACAGGGCCUUUCCUCUGCCUGUGAGUCCCUGGUAUCUCUUCCUGUUUUCAUAAUGAUUCUAGUCACUGGAUUAGGGCUACUCUCAUGACCUAAUUUAAUCUUAUUACCUCUUUAAAGGCCCUGUCUCCUAAUACAGUCACAUUCUAAGAUACUGAAAUUGGAACUUCAAGAUAAGAAUUUUAUGGUGACUCAAUAGUGCCCUUGUGUAAUCCCUUCCCCUUGAGUGUGGGAUGGACCUAGUGACUGGCUUCUAAUGAUUUAAAUAUGGCACAAAUGGCAAUAGCUUGCUUUUGAUAUUGGGCUAAAAAGACUAUGAUUUUUGUCUUGUUCAGUCUUUUUUUCUGGUUCUUCUUGCUUGCUUGUUCUGAUGGAAGCAAGCUGCCAUGUUGGGAGUCCCCUGUGGAGAGAGGCCCACUUGGCAAGAAACAGAGGGUCUUGCAGCCUGCAGCUCCAAGGAACUGAGGUUCUCUGUCCAACAACCCAGUAGGAACUGAAUCCUGCCAAUGGCCACAUGAGUGAGAUUGGAAGCAGAUUCUUUUCCACUCGAAUCUUGAGAUGACUGCAGUCUCAGCUGCCACGUGGACUACGAUCUGGCCUUCCUUAGAUAUCUGGUAACCCUUGGAUGUCUGCUCAAGGGAAAUCUGACACAGCUAGAAAGCAAUGGAAAACACUAAGGGUUGCAUCAGAUGUUGAAGAGAAACUGAUCAAGCUGUGGAGAUAAAAAGGAUCUCUCUUAAGAUGGAUUUUUAAAAAGCUGGUCAU
Molecule: non-coding RNA, 1582 nt
Organism: Odocoileus virginianus texanus
Lineage: Eukaryota; Metazoa; Chordata; Mammalia; Artiodactyla; Cervidae
Source: RefSeq, a predicted model, not a curated record